This 523-nucleotide ribosomal RNA is filed under the name uncultured Leptodontidium. RNAcentral describes it as "SSU rRNA". It matches the Rfam family "Eukaryotic small subunit ribosomal RNA", at positions 39 to 538 of the family's 1831-position model. The record is from RNAcentral. Lineage: Eukaryota; Fungi; Ascomycota.
AUAGAAUAAGCCAUGCAUGUCUAAGUAUAAGCAAUCUAUACGGUGAAACUGCGAAUGGCUCAUUACAUCAGUUAUCGUUUAUUUGAUAGUACCUAACCUACUUGGAUAACCGUGGUAAUUCUAGAGCUAAUACAUGCUAAAAACCUCGACUUCGGAAGGGGUGUAUUUAUUAGAUAAAAAACCAAUGCCCUUCGGGGCUCCUUGGUGAUUCAUAAUAACUCAACGAAUCGCAUGGCCUUGCGCCGGCGAUGGUUCAUUCAAAUUUCUGCCCUAUCAACUUUCGAUGGUAGGAUAGUGGCCUACCAUGGUGUUAACGGGUAACGGGGAAUUAGGGUUCUAUUCCGGAGAGGGAGCCUGAGAAACGGCUACCACAUCCAAGGAAGGCAGCAGGCGCGCAAAUUACCCAAUCCCGACACGGGGAGGUAGUGACAAUAAAUAAUGAUACAGGGCCCUUUCGGGUCUUGUAAUUGGAAUGAGUACAAUUAAUCCAUAGCAGAGAAUGACCGAACCUAAACUUGUUAUU